Molecule: ribosomal RNA, 504 nt
Filed under: uncultured bacterium
Lineage: Bacteria
Description: partial 16S ribosomal RNA
Rfam family: Bacterial small subunit ribosomal RNA
Source: RNAcentral
ACGAACGCUGGCGGCGUGCCUAAUACAUGCAAGUAGAACGCACAGUUUAUACCGUAGCUUGCUACACCAUAGACUGUGAGUUGCGAACGGGUGAGUAACGCUUAGGUAACCUGCCUGGUAGCGGGGGAUAACUAUUGGAAACGAUAGCUAAUACCGCAUAAUAUUAAUUAUUGCAUGAUAAUUAAUUGAAAGGUGCAAUUGCACCACUACCAGAUGGACCUGCGUUGUAUUAGCUAGUAGGUGAGGUAACGGCUCACCUAGGCGACGAUACAUAGCCGACCUGAGAGGGUGAUCGGCCACACUGGGACUGAGACACGGCCCAGACUCCUACGGGAGGCAGCAGUAGGGAAUCUUCGGCAAUGGACGAAAGUCUGACCGAGCGACGCCGCGUGAGUGAAGAAGGUUUUCGGAUCGUAAAGCUCUGUUGUAAGAGAAGAACGGGUGUGAGAGUGGAAAGUUCACACUGUGACGGUAUCUUACCAGAAAGGGACGGCUAACUACGUG